RNAcentral lists this long non-coding RNA (212 nucleotides) under Lathyrus oleraceus (garden pea). Its description in RNAcentral is "Pisum sativum (pea) long non-coding RNA (PSAT_LNC001184)". The record is from RNAcentral. Lineage: Eukaryota; Viridiplantae; Streptophyta; Magnoliopsida; Fabales; Fabaceae.
CAAACAAUAGAAAACAAAAACAAAAUGAAGAUUAGAAGUCAAGAAACAAAUAAAAUAUUUUUGGCAUUUUUUAAUAUUAAAAUAAAACUUGAAUUAAAAUAAUAAAGAAAGGUCAAACUUCAAACUCACUUUAAAUCAACUUUGAAAAGUCCAACUGAAUUAUCCCAAGUUCAACAAGGUCAAACAAAGUUUGACAAAAAAUUUCAGCAUUU